CAAGUGGGGCUGGAACUGGCUACGGUCCAGAUGGAGUUAGACCAGGUGGGGCUGGAACUGGCUAUGGAGACUAUGCAGGUGCCAAAGCACGCAAAUAUGGUUUGGGAGGGCUUGGCACUGGAACCAGUAUUGGUUCUGGACUUGGAAUAGGUGGAGGAAUUC
This is a long non-coding RNA of Nematolebias whitei (Rio pearlfish), 162 nucleotides long. RefSeq lists it as uncharacterized. The record is from RefSeq and is a predicted model, not a curated record. The transcript has 3 exons. NCBI's taxonomy places the organism in Eukaryota, Metazoa, Chordata, Actinopteri, Cyprinodontiformes, Rivulidae.